CUAACAUCUCUCCCUUCCCCAGUGACCUCCUCCGCUCUGCACUCUUGUAUCCACCAUUCUACUCUCUACUCGUAUGAGUUCAACUUGUUUUGAUUCCACAUAAAAAGACCUCGUUCGGAGGGCGGCUUAUACUGCAAGGAACUGCUGUCUCCAGCUAAUGGCCUGUGAGGCCCUAAGACCUGCCAGUAGCCUGUUGUGAGCCUGCCUGGAAGCACAUCGCAGGCCCCAGGCAAGCCUUCAGAUGACUGCAGCCCCAGCCAACAACCUGACAACAGCAGGCAGAGGCCCUGCACCAGGCGAGGAUCCCCAGCCCACAGCAUGGUGAGGACAGGCACACAGCACUCCAGAGGACUGAGACAGCUGGAGGAUCUUCCUAGAGGGUGAGAGACUUAAGGCCAUGCCCUGACAGAUGUAAUAGGACUUCCACAGGCGAAGAGGUUGAGAAAGAAGGCAUUCCACGUGGGAGAAGUCCUGGGAGGAAACACAGACGCAGAAUAUGUCCAGCAGGCUCUGAAACCUGUGUGGUUAGAACAGAAGGUUCCUGGAAAAUAGAAGAGUGGGUGAGGAGAUCGACUGGGGAGCCUGGUUCACUCUAUAGAAUUUUACAAACUGAAGAGGGAUCCAAGAAGCAUUUCAGAAAGCCAGAUCCAGCAGGUUUGUGUACCAGGAGUUGGAAAUGAGAUAAACUGUUGGUGGAGAGGUCAUUUUGGAGAUGUUUUUCUUUUAGAAUUCUUUCAUAUUUAAGAAUAGACUGAAUAACCCUGACAGCCCCCAGAAAGGAUGAACAAAAUGAUUCAGUUCAACCAACAUUUUGUACACAAAGCAAGAGAAAACAUUAGAUGCUUGUUAAAAGCAAAUAUUGGUGAUUCUGGUUUUAAGCCACGCCUGAAUUGAAGAAAUCCAAACUAAACAGAGCGCUAAGGAAUUAUUCCACUUCAAAUGCCUGCCAAUUUCCUCAAGAUGCAGCUUGUGACAGAUACAAAUACAUUCCAGGAAAGUACUUUCCCCUUUUCACUGCUGACUUUACAGACUUUAACAUAAAUAAGACAGGCAGCACUUUGUUUAGAUAAAUUUUGAUGAAGGUAUUAAUCCAUGGCUUAGUAUAUAUUUCACUAUCAAUGAAAAAUUCACCUCUAUUUAAUUUUCCUUAAAAUAUGAAAGUUUAAAACAAAUUACCAGAUCUUUAAUGCAACCCAAAAAUCAAUUUAUGUUUUUGAUGACUUGAAACCUAUUCCACAUCCAAUUGGAUGUUCAGACUUUGCUCAAAAGUUGAAGAAAAGAUUAAAAACUUCUGGAACAAAUCAGAAUAAAGUUACUAGAACUUAUUAGGAUGUUUUUUGAUACAGUUCACAUCCUAGGACACAUUUCUGAAAUCCUAUCAUGUAAGAUGGCUCUAUGUGUUUGAAAUGUGCAUUUAUAUGUUAACUUCAUGUCAGGCUUCACCCGUAUAAAACCUAAUGCCUGCUUAGACUCAGCUGAUCGCCACGAGGCUCUCAGAUUCCAUUAUAUCCGAUACUUCAAAGAAACACUCAUUUCCGUGGUUCAUCUGCUUCAUGUUUUCUGGUGUUUUCAUUCAUUCAUUCGUUUGAUGUACAUUUGUUGAACAUCAGUUCUGAAAAGCUCCAGGACCCGUCAGGCUUUGGGGAUGCAAUAGCAUGUAUGUGUGUGUGUGUGUGUGUGUGUGUGUGUGUGUGUGCAUGCAUAUGUGUGUGUGGCCAGAAAGAGGAAGGGGGAGCAAAUAGAACAGUAAAAUCCAGAGAUCCAGUUACUGGGAGAAGACUGAGUUAGGGAAGGCCCCUUGGACUACGAUGAGACUUUUGAGUUGGGUCUUGAGGGAUGGGUUAAAGUCUGUCAGGCAGUCUGAUCCCCGACCAAAAAAUUGUUCAUGCAAAGGCCUGAAGUAGUAAAGGACAUUGUUCAUUCUGGCACUGUCAAAAGCUCAUGUGGAACCAGGCCCCAUGACUCAGGCCAGUAAUCCCAACAUUUUGGGAGGCUGAGGA
Molecule: non-coding RNA, 2000 nt
Organism: Macaca mulatta (Rhesus monkey)
Lineage: Eukaryota; Metazoa; Chordata; Mammalia; Primates; Cercopithecidae
Source: RefSeq, a predicted model, not a curated record